Molecule: ribosomal RNA, 783 nt
Filed under: marine metagenome
Description: bacterial SSU rRNA
Rfam family: Bacterial small subunit ribosomal RNA
Source: RNAcentral
AGAGUUUGAUCCUGGCUCAGGAUGAACGCUGGCGGUAUGCUUAACACAUGCAAGUCGUACGAAAACUUUUUUUGCUUGCAAAGAAAGUUUUAGUGGCGAACGGGUGAGUAACGCGUAAGAAUCUGCCCUCAGGAAGGGGAUAACAGUGGGAAAUUACUGCUAAUACCCUAUAAGCGCAUGCGUAAAAGCCUUCGGGCACCUGGGGAUGAGCUUGCGUCUGAUUAGCUAGUUGGUGAGGUAAUGGCUUACCAAGGCGAUGAUCAGUAGCUGGUCUGAGAGGAUGAUCAGCCACACUGGGACUGAGACACGGCCCAGACUUCUACGGGAGGCAGCAGUGGGGAAUUUUCCGCAAUGGGCGAAAGCCUGACGGAGCAAUACCGCGUGGAGGAUGACGGCCUAUGGGUUGUAAACUCCUUUUCUUUGAGAAGAAGUCCUGACGGUAUCAAAGGAAUAAGCAUCGGCUAACUCCGUGCCAGCAGCCGCGGUAAGACGGAGGAUGCAAGUGUUAUCCGGAAUUAUUGGGCGUAAAGCGUUUGUAGGUGGAAAAAUAAGUCUAUUGUUAAAUCCAGGAGCUUAACUUCUGUCCAGCGAUAUGAAACUAUUUUUCUUGAGGGUGGUAGGGGUAGAAGGAAUUCCUAGUGUAGCGGUGAAAUGCGUAGAUAUUAGGAAGAACACCAAAGGCGAAGGCAUUCUACUGGGCCAAUCCUGACACUGAGAGACGAAAGCUAGGGGAGCGAAUGGGAUUAGAUACCCCAGUAGUCCUAGCCGUAAACGAUGGAUACU